GACGAACGCUGGCGGCGUGCUUAACACAUGCAAGUCGAACGGAAAGGCCCUGCUUUUGUGGGGUGCUCGAGUGGCGAACGGGUGAGUAACACGUGAGUAACCUGCCCUUGACUUUGGGAUAACUUCAGGAAACUGGGGCUAAUACCGGAUAGGAUCUCCUGCUGCAUGUUGGGGGUUGGAAAGUUUCGGCGGUUGGGGAUGGACUCGCGGCUUAUCAGCUUGUUGGUGGGGUAGUGGCUUACCAAGGCUUUGACGGGUAGCCGGCCUGAGAGGGUGACCGGCGACAUUGGGACUGAGAUACGGCCCAGACUCCUACGGGAGGCAGCAGUGGGGAAUAUUGCACAAUGGGCGGAAGCCUGAUGCAGAAACGCCGCGUGCGGGAUGACGGCCUUCGGGUUGUAAACCGCUUUCGCCUGUGACGAAGCGUGAGUGACGGUAAUGGGUAAAGAAGCAACGGCUAACUACGUG
Molecule: ribosomal RNA, 468 nt
Filed under: uncultured bacterium
Lineage: Bacteria
Description: partial 16S ribosomal RNA
Rfam family: Bacterial small subunit ribosomal RNA
Source: RNAcentral